RNAcentral lists this ribosomal RNA (386 nucleotides) under uncultured bacterium. Its description in RNAcentral is "bacterial SSU rRNA". It matches the Rfam family "Bacterial small subunit ribosomal RNA", at positions 28 to 417 of the family's 1533-position model. The record is from RNAcentral.
GACGAACGCUGGCGGCGUGCUUAACACAUGCAAGUCGAGCGGUAAGGCCCUUUCGGGGGUACACGAGCGGCGAACGGGUGAGUAACACGUGGGUGACCUGCCUCUAGCUCUGGGAUAAGCCCGGGAAACUGGGUCUAAUACUGGAUAUGACUCCAUGACGCAUGUUGUGGGGUGGAAAGCCUUGUGCGGCUAGAGAUGGGCCCGCGGCCUAUCAGCUUGUUGGNGGGUGAUGGCCUACCAAGGCGACGACGGGUAGCCGGCCUGAGAGGGCGACCGGCCACACUGGGACUGAGACACGGCCAGACUCCUACGGGAGGCAGCAGUGGGGAAUCUUGCGCAAUGGGACGAAAGCCUGACGCAGCGACGCCGCGUGAGGAUGACGCUGU